This 733-nucleotide ribosomal RNA is filed under the name uncultured bacterium. Its description in RNAcentral is "bacterial SSU rRNA". It matches the Rfam family "Bacterial small subunit ribosomal RNA", at positions 756 to 1501 of the family's 1533-position model. The record is from RNAcentral.
AAAGUGUGGGUAUCAAACAGGAUUAGAUACCCUGGUAGUCCACACAGUAAACGAUGAAUACUCGCUGUUUGCGAUAUACAGUAAGCGGCCAAGCGAAAGCGUUAAGUAUUCCACCUGGGGAGUACGCCGGCAACGGUGAAACUCAAAGGAAUUGACGGGGGCCCGCACAAGCGGAGGAACAUGUGGUUUAAUUCGAUGAUACGCGAGGAACCUUACCCGGGCUUAAAUUGCAGUGGAAUGAUGUGGAAACAUGUCAGUGAGCAAUCACCGCUGUGAAGGUGCUGCAUGGUUGUCGUCAGCUCGUGCCGUGAGGUGUCGGCUUAAGUGCCAUAACGAGCGCAACCCUUAUCUUCAGUUACUAACAGGUCAUGCUGAGGACUCUGGAGAGACUGCCGUCGUAAGAUGUGAGGAAGGUGGGGAUGACGUCAAAUCAGCACGGCCCUUACGUCCGGGGCUACACACGUGUUACAAUGGGGGGUACAGAAGGCAGCUAGCGGGUGACCGUAUGCUAAUCCCAAAAUCCUCUCUCAGUUCGGAUCGAAGUCUGCAACCCGACUUCGUGAAGCUGGAUUCGCUAGUAAUCGCGCAUCAGCCACGGCGCGGUGAAUACGUUCCCGGGCCUUGUACACACCGCCCGUCAAGCCAUGGGAGCCGGGGGUACCUGAAGUACGUAACCGCAAGGAUCGUCCUAGGGUAAAACUGGUGACUGGGGCUAAGUCGUAACAAGGUAACC